RNAcentral lists this ribosomal RNA (428 nucleotides) under uncultured bacterium. RNAcentral's name for it is "bacterial SSU rRNA". It matches the Rfam family "Bacterial small subunit ribosomal RNA", at positions 28 to 454 of the family's 1533-position model. The record is from RNAcentral.
GAUGAACGCUGGCGGCGUGCUUAACACAUGCAAGUCGAACGGGAUCCCAGGAGCUUGCUCCUGGGUGAGAGUGGCGAACGGGUGAGUAAUGCGUGACCGACCUGCCCCAUACACCGGAAUAGCUCCUGGAAACGGGUGGUAAUGCCAGAUGCUCCAGUUGGAUGCAUGUCCUUCUGGGAAAGAUUCUAUCGGUAUGGGAUGGGGUCGCGUCCUAUCAGCUUGAUGGCGGGGUAACGGCCCACCAUGGCUUCGACGGGUAGCCGGCCUGAGAGGGCGACCGGCCACAUUGGGACUGAGAUACGGCCCAGACUCCUACGGGAGGCAGCAGUGGGGAAUAUUGCACAAUGGGCGCAAGCCUGAUGCAGCGACGCCGCGUGCGGGAUGACGGCCUUCGGGUUGUAAACCGCUUUUGACUGGGAGCAAGCCCU